UGCAGUCGAGGGGUAACAGGAAAGCUUGCUUUCGCUGACGACCGGCGCACGGGUGCGUAACGCGUAUGCAACCUACCUCAUACUGGAGGAUAGCCCCUGGAAACGGGGAUUAAUACUCCAUAGUAUCACGAAUUCGCAUGUUUUUGUGAUUAAAGUUUUUCGGUAUGAGAUGGGCAUGCGUCCCAUUAGCUUGUUGGUGAGGUAACGGCUCACCAAGGCAACGAUGGGUAGGGGGCCUGAGAGGGUGGUCCCCCACACUGGUACUGAGACACGGACCAGACUCCUACGGGAGGCAGCAGUGAGGAAUAUUGGUCAAUGGAGGCAACUCUGAACCAGCCAUGCCGCGUGAAGGAUGACGGCCCUAUGGGUUGUAAACUUCUUUUAUAGAGGAAGAAACUUGUCUACGUGUAGACAACUGACGGUACUCUACGAAUAAGGAUCGGCUAACUCCGUGCCAGCAGCCGCGGUAAUACGGAGGAUCCAAGCGUUAUCCGGAUUCAUUGGGUUUAAAGGGUCCGUAGGCGGGUCUUUAAGUCAGUGGUGAAAGCCGACAGCUCAACUGUCGAACUGCCAUUGAUACUGGAGACCUUGAGUACAAAUGAAGUAGGCGGAAUAAGUCAUGUAGCGGUG
This 630-nucleotide ribosomal RNA is filed under the name uncultured bacterium. RNAcentral describes it as "bacterial SSU rRNA". It matches the Rfam family "Bacterial small subunit ribosomal RNA", at positions 56 to 683 of the family's 1533-position model. The record is from RNAcentral.